RNAcentral lists this long non-coding RNA (417 nucleotides) under Carica papaya (papaya). RNAcentral's name for it is "long non-coding RNA (CPAP_LNC015624)". The record is from RNAcentral. Lineage: Eukaryota; Viridiplantae; Streptophyta; Magnoliopsida; Brassicales; Caricaceae.
AGAUGUCGAUAGACUCUUCGAAAUGCUUGAGAGACUUAUCUCUGCCCAACAGGCUCAGAAAGAGAGGAGGGAGCUGUUUGACCCUCCACCACUGCCACAGUAUAAGCCACCCCUGCAACGAGAAGAUCUAGUGCCACCCCAAUACAACCCUGCUUUUCUACCGUAUCAUCUGACACCGCCAUAAUAUAAUUUGGUGCCCCCACCUUAUAACCAGGUGCCACCACAAGGCCACCCGACCCCUCCCCAGCAUAAUCCAAUCCCGCUUCAACGCAAUGUAGAGUACCUCUCAGAGCAUUUUCAGCAUUUGAAGGAAAUGAAGUUUGCACACCUAGUCCAUAUUAAGAUGACAGUUAUCGGCUCUAUUGGUGACCUGUAUUUUAUUAAUAAAAGGUUGUCAAUAUUCACAAAUUUCACCGU